This 388-nucleotide long non-coding RNA is filed under the name Vigna radiata. Its description in RNAcentral is "long non-coding RNA (VRAD_LNC006481)". Lineage: Eukaryota; Viridiplantae; Streptophyta; Magnoliopsida; Fabales; Fabaceae. The record is from RNAcentral.
GCAAAGUUGUUACAACAGGAGGAAAAAGGAAGCCAGAGGAGGAAACAAUUGAGAUCAGAAGUAGUGAGGGCGAAGAGAAGAAAGCAGAAAGAGAAAAGGAGAAGGAAGAUAUUAAAGAAGCACUCCGCAAGAUUCUCAAGGAGGCACCCAUUAAUCCUAGAACAUCUUCACAAACUUUUAAAUGUGAUGAGAAGAUCAAGUACUAUCUGGGAAAGUUACUUGAUCUGGGUUAUGAAGAAAAUCAGGAGCAGUGGGUGAAACCCCGGAAGAAGAACCAUCACUAGUGCAGCGAGGGGCUUUUACCGCGGUUAUUUUUCACUAUAGGUCGCGGUUUACGAACCGCGGCAUAUUCAGCCGCGGUAGUAAGUCAGAGACUUUAGGCCGCGGU